UAAUACAUGCAAGUCGAACGCACUCUCGUUUAGAUUGAAGGAGCUUGCUCCUGAUUGAUAACAUUUGAGUGAGUGGCGGACGGGUGAGUAACACGUGGGUAACCUGCCCUAAAGUGGGGUAUAACAUUUGGAAACAGAUGCUAAUACCGCAUAAAACCUAACACCGCAUGGUGUAGGGUUGAAAGAUGGUUUCGGCUAUCACUUUAGGAUGGACCCGCGGUGCAUUAGUUAGUUGGUGAGGUAAAGGCUCACCAAGACCGUGAUGCAUAGCCGACCUGAGAGGGUAAUCGGCCACACUGGGACUGAGACACGGCCCAGACUCCUACGGGAGGCAGCAGUAGGGAAUCUUCCACAAUGGACGAAAGUCUGAUGGAGCAACGCCGCGUGAGUGAAGAAGGUUUUCGGAUCGUAAAACUCUGUUGUUGGAGAAGAAUGUAUUUGAUAGUAACUGAUCAGGUAGUGACGGUAUCCAACCAGAAAGCCACGGCUAACUACGUG
This 498-nucleotide ribosomal RNA is filed under the name uncultured bacterium. RNAcentral describes it as "bacterial SSU rRNA". It matches the Rfam family "Bacterial small subunit ribosomal RNA", at positions 49 to 507 of the family's 1533-position model. The record is from RNAcentral.